RNAcentral lists this ribosomal RNA (390 nucleotides) under uncultured bacterium. Its description in RNAcentral is "bacterial SSU rRNA". It matches the Rfam family "Bacterial small subunit ribosomal RNA", at positions 29 to 420 of the family's 1533-position model. The record is from RNAcentral.
AUUGAACGCUGGCGGCAUGCUUUACACAUGCAAGUCGAACGGCAGCGGGGGCUUCGGUCCGCCGGCGAGUGGCGAACGGGUGAGUAAUGCAUCGGAACGUGCCCAGUCGUGGGGGAUAACACAUCGAAAGAUGUGCUAAUACCGCAUACGUCCUGAGGGAGAAAGCGGGGGAUCUUCGGACCUCGCGCGGACGGAGCGGCCGAUGGCAGAUUAGGUAGUUGGUGGGAUAAAAGCUUACCAAGCCGACGAUCUGUAGCUGGUCUGAGAGGAUGAUCAGCCACACUGGGACUGAGACACGGCCCAGACUCCUACGGGAGGCAGCAGUGGGGAAUUUUGGACAAUGGGCGCAAGCCUGAUCCAGCCAUGCCGCGUGCAGGAUGAAGGCCUCGG